GACGAACGCUGGCGGCGUGCUUAACACAUGCAAGUCGAACGGAAAGGCCCUGCUUGCAGGGUACUCGAGUGGCGAACGGGUGAGUAACACGUGGGUGAUCUGCCCUGCACUUCGGGAUAAGCCUGGGAAACUGGGUCUAAUACCGGAUAGGAGCCAUUUUUAGUGUGAUGGUUGGAAAGUUUUUUCGGUGUAGGAUGAGCUCGCGGCCUAUCAGCUUGUUGGUGGGGUAAUGGCCUACCAAGGCGGCGACGGGUAGCCGGCCUGAGAGGGUGGACGGCCACAUUGGGACUGAGAUACGGCCCAGACUCCGACGGGAGGCAGCAGUGGGGAAUAUUGCACAAUGGGCGCAAGCCUGAUGCAGCGACGCCGCGUGGGGGAUGACGGCCUUCGGGUUGUAAACUCCUUCCGCUAGGGACGAAGCUUUUUGUGACGGUACCUAGAUAAGAAGCACCGGCUAACUACGUG
Molecule: ribosomal RNA, 465 nt
Filed under: uncultured bacterium
Lineage: Bacteria
Description: partial 16S ribosomal RNA
Rfam family: Bacterial small subunit ribosomal RNA
Source: RNAcentral